UGAAAGCAUCUAAGCGGGAAACUUGCCUCAAGAUGAGAUCUCACUGGGAACUUGAUUCCCCUGAAGGGCCGUCGAAGACUACGACGUUGAUAGGCUGGGUGUGUAAGCGUUGUGAGGCGUUGAGCUAACCAGUACUAAUUUCCCGUGAGGCUUGACCAU
Molecule: ribosomal RNA, 159 nt
Filed under: Pseudomonas aeruginosa
Lineage: Bacteria; Pseudomonadati; Pseudomonadota; Gammaproteobacteria; Pseudomonadales; Pseudomonadaceae
Description: partial 23S ribosomal RNA
Rfam family: Bacterial large subunit ribosomal RNA
Source: RNAcentral